This 428-nucleotide ribosomal RNA is filed under the name uncultured bacterium. RNAcentral's name for it is "partial 16S ribosomal RNA". It matches the Rfam family "Bacterial small subunit ribosomal RNA", at positions 354 to 796 of the family's 1533-position model. The record is from RNAcentral.
GUCGAGAAUCUUCCGCAAUGCGCGAAAGCGUGACGGAGCGACACCGCGUGAUGGAUGAAGUCCUUCGGGGCGUAAACAUCUUUUAUAAAGGAGGAAAUUUUUGACGUUACUUUAUGAAUAAUGGGCUCCCAAUCUCGUGCCAGCAGGAGCGGUAAUACGAGAGCCUCAAGCGUUAUCCGGAAUCAUUGGGCGUAAAGGGUGCGUAGGUAGUUUGAUUAGUCUCCCGUUAAAAGUUCGAGCGUAACUCGAAGAGAGCGGGGGAAACGGUCAAACUAGAGUAUGUGAGAGGUGUGUGGAACUCAUGGUGUAGGGGUGAAAUCCGUUGAUAUCAUGGGGAACACCAAAAGCGAAGGCAGCACACUGGCACAUCACUGACACUGAGGCACGAAACCUAAGGUAGCGAAUGGGAUUAGAAACCCCUGUAGUCC